AACGAACGCUGGCGGCAUGCCUAACACAUGCAAGUCGAACGAGACCUUCGGGUCUAGUGGCGCACGGGUGCGUAACGCGUGGGAAUCUGCCCUUGGGUUCGGAAUAACAGUUAGAAAUGACUGCUAAUACCGGAUGAUGUCUUCGGACCAAAGAUUUAUCGCCCAAGGAUGAGCCCGCGUAAGAUUAGCUAGUUGGUGAGGUAAUGGCUCACCAAGGCGACGAUUCUAGUCUGGUCUGAGAGGAUGAUCAGCCACACUGGGGACUGAGACACGGCCCAGACUCCUACGGGAGGCAGCAGUGGGGAAUAUUGGACGAAUGGGCGAAAGCCUGAUCCAGCAAUGCCGCGUGAGUGAUG
Molecule: ribosomal RNA, 356 nt
Filed under: uncultured bacterium
Lineage: Bacteria
Description: bacterial SSU rRNA
Rfam family: Bacterial small subunit ribosomal RNA
Source: RNAcentral